RNAcentral lists this ribosomal RNA (38 nucleotides) under Trebouxia sp. P-121a1-Dark. RNAcentral describes it as "partial 26S ribosomal RNA". The record is from RNAcentral. Lineage: Eukaryota; Viridiplantae; Chlorophyta; Trebouxiophyceae; Trebouxiales; Trebouxiaceae.
UCGACCUGAGGUCAGGCAAGAACACCCGCUGAACUUGA